AUCCAGCUGACGAGUCCCAAACAGUACGAAACGUGUGUCCUGGAU
This 45-nucleotide non-coding RNA is filed under the name Schistosoma mansoni. The record is from RNAcentral. Lineage: Eukaryota; Metazoa; Platyhelminthes; Trematoda; Strigeidida; Schistosomatidae.